GAUGAACGCUGGCGGCGUGCCUAAUACAUGCAAGUCGAGCGAACAGACGAGGAGCUUGCUCCUUCGACGUUAGCGGCGGACGGGUGAGUAACACGUAGGUAACCUACCUAUAAGGCUGGGAUAACUUCGGUAAACCGGAGCUAAUACCGGAUAAUAUUUCGAACCGCAUGGUUCGAUAGUGAAAGAUGGCUUUGCUAUCACUUAUAGAUGGACCUGCGCCGUAUUAGCUAGUUGGUAAGGUAACGGCUUACCAAGGCAACGAUACGUAGCCGACCUGAGAGGGUGAUCGGCCACACUGGAACUAAGACACGGUCCAGACUACUACGGGAGGCAGCAGUAGGGAAUCUUCCGCAAUGGGCGAAAGCCUGACGGAGCAACGCCGCGUGGGUGAUGAAGGUCUUCGGAUCGUAAAACUCUGUUAUUAGGGAAGAACAAACGUGUAAGUAACUGUGCACGUCUUGACGGUACCUAAUCAGAAAGCCACGGCUAACUACGUG
RNAcentral lists this ribosomal RNA (497 nucleotides) under uncultured bacterium. Its description in RNAcentral is "partial 16S ribosomal RNA". It matches the Rfam family "Bacterial small subunit ribosomal RNA", at positions 28 to 507 of the family's 1533-position model. The record is from RNAcentral.